UACGGAGAGUGCAAACGUUGUUCGGAUUCACUGGGCGUAAAGGGCACGUAGGCGGCUCGGCAAAUCGGUCGUGGAAUCCCGACGCUUACCGUCGGAACGGCGGCCGAAAAUACCGGGCUCAAGGGCGUGAGGGGUCACUGGAACUCCUGGUGAAGCGGUGAAAUGCGUAGAUAUCAGGAGGAACGCCGGAGGCGAAAGCGAGUGACUGGCGCGUUCCUGACGCUGAGGUGCGAAAGCUAGGGGAGCAAACAGG
This 253-nucleotide ribosomal RNA is filed under the name uncultured bacterium. RNAcentral's name for it is "partial 16S ribosomal RNA". It matches the Rfam family "Bacterial small subunit ribosomal RNA", at positions 524 to 776 of the family's 1533-position model. The record is from RNAcentral.